RNAcentral lists this ribosomal RNA (253 nucleotides) under uncultured microorganism. Its description in RNAcentral is "partial 16S ribosomal RNA". It matches the Rfam family "Bacterial small subunit ribosomal RNA", at positions 524 to 776 of the family's 1533-position model. The record is from RNAcentral.
UACGGAGGGUGCGAGCGUUAUUCGGAAUUACUGGGCGUAAAGCGCGUGUAGGCGGCAGGGCAAGUCUGGUGUGAAAGCCCGGGGCUCAACCCUGGAAGGGCACUGGAAACUGUGCGGCUUGAGUGCCGGAGAGGAGGGGGGAAUUCCCGGUGUAGCGGUGAAAUGCGUAGAUAUCGGGAGGAAUACCGGUGGCGAAGGCGCCCCUCUGGACGGUAACUGACGCUGAGGCGCGAAAGCGUGGGGAGCAAACAGG